CAGAUUCGUAGUUUAACAUAAAACAUUGGCAUUGGAAGCCAAAAAUCAAGAGUUACACUUGCAAUCUGA
RNAcentral lists this transfer RNA (69 nucleotides) under Acanthopleura loochooana. RNAcentral's name for it is "tRNA-Pro". Lineage: Eukaryota; Metazoa; Mollusca; Polyplacophora; Chitonida; Chitonidae. The record is from RNAcentral.